GUGAUUUGUCCUAUAUGCUUGGAUUUCCCUCACAACAGUGUACUCCUUCAAUGCUCUUCUUAUGAUAAAGGCUGCCGGCCUUUUGUUUGUGAUACAGACCAUUUGCACUCAAACUGUUUGGACCGUUUCAAAAGUGCAUGUGGUAUGCCAUUUCCUUCAACAUCUGAUGAAUCUCCUACAACAAACACACAGCGUAUGGUAGUGGAGAGCAGUUUUAGACUAGCUUGUCCCCUUUGUAGAGGUGAAGUUACUGGCUGGGUGGUGGUUGAUAAGGCUCGUGUACACUUAGAUGAGAAAAAGCGUUGUUGCGAGGAAGAACAAUGUACUUUCACAGGGACCUAUUUGGAACUAUGUAAACAUGCUCAACUAGAACACCCUCAUGCCCGUCCUUCAAAAAUUGAUCCUGCUCGACAACUUGAUUGGGAGAAUUUCCAGCAGUCCUCUGAGAUAAUAGAUGUUUUGAGCAUGAUACAUUCAGAAGUCCCACGUGGGGUUGUUUUGGGAGACUAUGUGAUUGAGUAUGGGGGCGAUGAGACUGGAGAUGAAUUUGAGGACUUUCCUGGGGAUGAAGGCAACUGGUGGACUUCUUGCAUCUUGUACCAGGUAUUUGAUAACUUCAGAAGUUCAAGAAAUAGAAGAAGGUCAAGAGUAGCUGAUACAAG
RNAcentral lists this unclassified non-coding RNA (662 nucleotides) under Hevea brasiliensis (rubber tree). Lineage: Eukaryota; Viridiplantae; Streptophyta; Magnoliopsida; Malpighiales; Euphorbiaceae. The record is from RNAcentral.